AUGGUGUAUAGGUUUCUAAUAGAUUUUCGUGAUAUUCUGCACUAUGACUAUUCGGAUACGGACAAUCUUACGGAAAGCCAAGUGAGCAGAGCACAUAUGCAGAUAUUGAAGUCGCAUAUAAAUGUCUUGAAGAGAGCUAUGGUACAAAACAGAAGAUAUCAUCCUCUAUGGUCAAUCUGUUGGUAGUGGCCCCACUUUGGAUCUAGCACUUCAUUGCCUCGGUUAAGAGUCAUUGUUUUGCACAUCCCAUACUUUCGGUUUAAGAGUAAUGUAUCCUGUAAGCGUACAUAUUGGUUUGACAUUUAUAAGAAUAUUGAUAAAAUUCCACUUGUCAAUUGUCCGGUUCUUAUCAUUCAUGUAAGUUUGGAUGAAGUUGUUGAUUGCUCCCAUGGAAAGCAACUUUGGGAACUAUGCAAAGAGAAGUAUGAACCUCUAUGGCUUAAAGGAGGAACCACUGUGAUUUAGAGCGAGACCACAGUAUAUAAGACAUCUCAAGAAGUUCAUAUCAACUGUUGAGAAAUCUCCUUCUCAAAGGUACAGUUCUAGGAGAAGCAUGCACCAAUUUGAGCGCCUCGGAAAAGUAUCGAUGCAUUUGAGGUUUCAAGGAAGAGUCUUGAUCGAAGGAGAAACCAAGGAAGAGCAAUCGACAGCCUGAGAAGUUGAAAACCAGUCUAAUAAUUUGGAUAAGCUAGAAAAGCUAAGAAUCUCUUUCGAUCAAUUGGAAAAGUCUCAAGGAGUGUGGAUUGCCAUGAGAAGUCCGGAAAACGUUGACCAUCGGUUGGAAAGAGCUCACAAAAGUGUUGAUCUGUUGGAUAGAAUACUAACAGGUGAUGAUACUACUUUUGUGUAA
RNA transcript from Gossypium raimondii (Peruvian cotton), 850 nucleotides. RefSeq lists it as uncharacterized. The record is from RefSeq and is a predicted model, not a curated record. NCBI's taxonomy places the organism in Eukaryota, Viridiplantae, Streptophyta, Magnoliopsida, Malvales, Malvaceae. The transcript has 4 exons.